RNAcentral lists this transfer RNA (72 nucleotides) under Loxodonta africana (African savanna elephant). It matches the Rfam family "tRNA". From Rfam's summary of the family: Transfer RNA (tRNA) molecules are approximately 80 nucleotides in length. The record is from Rfam by way of RNAcentral. Lineage: Eukaryota; Metazoa; Chordata; Mammalia; Proboscidea; Elephantidae.
GGUUCCACGGCGUAAUGUUGAGCACUCUGGACUCUGAAUCCCGCGAUCCGAGUUCAAAUCUCAGUGGGACCU